RNAcentral lists this small nuclear RNA (23 nucleotides) under Arabidopsis thaliana (thale cress). Its description in RNAcentral is "snRNA_17529". The record is from RNAcentral. Lineage: Eukaryota; Viridiplantae; Streptophyta; Magnoliopsida; Brassicales; Brassicaceae.
UAUUGGGUAUCUCAUUGAAAGAC